RNAcentral lists this ribosomal RNA (301 nucleotides) under uncultured bacterium. Its description in RNAcentral is "partial 16S ribosomal RNA". It matches the Rfam family "Bacterial small subunit ribosomal RNA", at positions 509 to 809 of the family's 1533-position model. The record is from RNAcentral.
CAGUCGCCGCGGUAAUACAGAGGGUGCGAGCGUUAAUCGGAUUUACUGGGCGUAAAGCGUGCGUAGGCGGCUUUUUAAGUCGGAUGUGAAAUCCCUGAGCUUAACUUAGGAAUUGCAUUCGAUACUGGGAAGCUAGAGUAUGGGAGAGGAUGGUAGAAUUCCAGGUGUAGCGGUGAAAUGCGUAGAGAUCUGGAGGAAUACCGAUGGCGAAGGCAGCCAUCUGGCCUAAUACUGACGCUGAGGUACGAAAGCAUGGGGAGCAAACAGGAUUAGAUACCCGGGUAGUCCCUGUCUCUUAUAA